This is a long non-coding RNA of Momordica charantia (bitter melon), 469 nucleotides long. RefSeq lists it as uncharacterized. The record is from RefSeq and is a predicted model, not a curated record. Lineage: Eukaryota; Viridiplantae; Streptophyta; Magnoliopsida; Cucurbitales; Cucurbitaceae.
UGAAGGAAAAAAGAAUGAAGAAUGGUUUGAAGAGAACAGAGGAGGGGUGAGACCCGGUCGCUAGGGUAUCUAAAAAAAAGGGAAGAAGAAGAAGGUUGGUAUUUUUGAAGCCGAACUUAAGAACCUCAACUAUGGAAAACAGCAAAGCUUGGUUGAGCAGAAAUUGGAGCAAAGGAACGACUGAGUUGAUUUAAUGUGUUUUAGAACGGGUUGAGAAGUUGGCGUAACUAGGUCGCAGGAGAUGCAGGGGAAUGCCGGGGCGAUUAGGGCUAAAUCCGGAUUCUGAAUCCUGGUCCAAAUCCUGGACUUGGGAGUGAUCUUUUCGAUUUGCCUGGAAAGAAAUUGUUGUUACAAGUUUGAUUUUGAGAAGUUUACUAAGUUUUAUGAAAGGUACAACGUUGCUCCAGUUUUACUCAAGUUUUAUGGAAUUUAAAUGAGAAUGUUUAUUACUUCAGUUUAUGAAGUUUGU